RNAcentral lists this long non-coding RNA (4161 nucleotides) under Homo sapiens (human). RNAcentral describes it as "HSALNT0289951". The record is from RNAcentral. Lineage: Eukaryota; Metazoa; Chordata; Mammalia; Primates; Hominidae.
CCAACAGCGAUGGCUGCAAACCCUUGGAGGUGGCAUUGCCAAAAGCGGACGUCAAUAGAUGUAAUGCAAAAAUAGUGUCUUGUGUUCAAAAAAGGUUGGGAAAUACUGAGUGAAAGAAUAGUGCACAAACCAUAGGCACACAGCUCAAGGAAUUAUCAGGAAUUGAACAUGUCCACGUGUGCCCAACCCAGCUCUCCAGCACACCUUCCCAGCCUCAACCCAUCAUCUGGAUUCUGAGGUAAAUAAUCACCAGCUCCUGGAGGGGCUCGUGGGUAGGUAUGGAGAGAGAUGAGCAAUGGUCUACACAGAUGACAGAACAUAUCCACAUCCCUAAGGAAUUGGCUCAGGCAAUGGUGAAGAUUUGGCAAGUCCAAAAUCUGAUGGAGGAGUCUGGCGGGAUGGAGACUCCGAAAAGAGUUGCAGUUUGAGUCAAAAGGCAAGCUGUCAGUGAGCUAGGAAGAGCCGACGAUGUUGCAGUUCAAGUCCAAAGACCCUCUGCCAGCAAACUUCCCUCCUGCUCGGAGGAGCUAAAUCUUUUGUUCUAUUUAAGCCUUCACCUAAUUGGAUAAGGCCCACCUGCAUUAUGGAGCUCAUCUGCUCUACUCAAAUCUACUAAUUUGAAUGCUAAUCUCAUCCAAAAACACUGUCACAGAUACAUUCAGAAUAAUAUUUGGCCAAUAUCUCGGCCCAAUCAAGUUGACACAUAAAGUUAACCUCCACAAGGGCUGCAUCUGAAAUCCUAGAUGGGAACACUUCGGAGAGGUACCAGCAGGUUCCUCGACUCACUCCUAGGGCCCCUUGUGCUAAGGCUUUUCUGUGGCUCUCAAGCCAUUUCCAGGAAUUGAGUAGAAACUCUCUCUCUCUCUCUCUCUCUCCCCACCCAAACAAUAUUCCCUGAAAGCUAUUAAUUCCUGCAAGCAGGAGCUCAACUCAAACAAAUGUUUCUAUAAAUGGCCAGUCAGCAAUGGGCGGCUUGGGAGAUGUGGCAUCUUGUCCCUGGGGACCUUCAGUAAGAGAAUGCAAAUCAUCUGUUCCGUUGCGUCUAGCCAGGGCACCCACUGGCUUAUGCAGGAGCCUGCGCCAGAUGUUUUCCUGAGGUCUCUUCUUGCUCAAGGAUCUGAUGACACCAACUCUUCAUUUCUUCUGAAUCAACAGCUGCUGAUUUCAUUCAAAUAAUCUAAUUUGAAAUUCUGUUUCUGGAACACAGACAGCUUCAUCCGCCCAGGCAGAACAAAGGAAGUGGAACAGGGGCCUUAAUAGGAGAUAUUUUGAGUGUUUUCAGACAUAGAAGUCAACAAUCUGUUCAUUCAUAAGGGCUCUGACCUCUUGUUUUGAAGGAAAACAGGAAAAACAAGCUGGGUACAAAGAACAUAAAUAUUUUACUUUCACCCAUUCUCCAAUCUGGGCUGAAACAGGAAACAAAUGUCUCCUCUCCACCUUCCCCACCUCCAAACACAUCUGUGAGAAGCAACGUGGAGAUCAGAUGAUGGAAGUGGAUUUAAAAAGUAAUUUGCCACUUUUCAAGAAAUAUAAGUUGCAGAUGCAUCUAUUCAUUUUAGGGAGAAGAAGGGGGGUACUCUGGGAUUCUUAGGGGAGCUUUUGGGAGAGACGGCAUUGUCUCCUUCCCAUGUGGAUGUGUGGAGUCAGCCAGGAGGGAAGGAGGCAUGGUCACGGGAGAGGAGGGCAGGCAGGCUCUGACAAGUGCAUAUUGGGGUCUCGGUGGAGAUGCCCAAAGGAUCUACCCCACAGGCAGUGAGAGUCUGGAAACGCACGGUUGGAAGGCUGCACUGAGCUUCACAUCGGGGUCUGCGUGAAGCGCCCCAUCUCCUGCCCCUGGUGGCGCAGCUCGGUACUGCCUCUGCGUCUCCUCCCUGGCGGGGUGACUGCGGCAGCCCCGGAACUGCCUUACCACAAAGGCCAGAGGCACGGUCUCAUCCCAUUGCAGUUUCGGGUUCUUCUGGGAAAUUUCCAAAGGAAGGACUUUCCAAAGGACUUUCCCAAGGAAGGUCUUGGCCGGAUCAGGGAUGGUGACCGGGACAGCACAGCUGGUCCCCGCUGAGACCAAGGCAAGGGUUGGUACUGUGAGCUACUUAAAGAGGUGAGAUUAUUUAAAUCCUUUUUGUGGGGAAAAAAAACUGAGACAGGUUUUCCCAUGAUUGCAAAAAUGUCACAUCACUUUUUUAAAAUCAAAAAUUAAAUGUACAUGAUGAUAAUAUAGAGGGGAUUGCUGCCCCUUGGCACCAAAGUCAUCCAACAUGACCUGGUCCUAGAAGAGGAGGCAGCUGCCACAAGCACAGCCGCACCCACAUCCUUGCUCCAUCCCCUGUCUGGAAUCAGGAGAAGGGCUUCCUUCCACGCUGCUUCCUCCCUGGGGAUGUCUGUGCAGGAAGCCUAACUAUUCCAUUAAACCGGCAGGGGCCUUGGGAACCCGCCAUGAAUCAGGCUUGUUGUCGGUACCAGCCACGAGGAUAAAUAAUGACCCUCUUUUCAAGGAGAACACAGUUUUGCAAAGAAAACAGAUGCAUGUUGUAUUGUCAUUUGUAAAGCAAAAGGGAAAUCAAAAAUAUGCUGGAGGAAGCAGAGGAGGACUGACCAGGCUUGUGGGAGGGUGCUGAGGAAGGCUUGCAGGAGAGGGAGCUUCAGGAGAGAGGAUCAAGGGAGUCUAAGGGGAUCAGGAACUCCCUGUAAAGGCUCAGAGGACAGAAGGAAGACUGUGCAUUGGAUGCUACUGAUUCAGGAGGGUGAAAGGGAUCAUAAGAGGUGAGAUGGAAACUCAAUUUGGAGGCAGAAUGUGAAUACCCUUCAAAGGCAGACAAAGACGUUUAGACAGCAGAGCAAAGGUAGAGGCCCAUUCCCCUGAUGCAGUCAUUUGGAACACCGGGUUGAACUUCUGUCCAGCAAGGCAGAGAUGAGAGCUGAGUAACGGGACCUGGCCUGGGAACAGAGGGUCCACCUGUGGGUUCCUGAUUUCCCAGCACUAGACCAUGAGAAGUCUUGAGCAGAGAUCACCCUCAGCAUCCAGAGGUCCUCAGAAGGGCACAUCCAAUGUUGCUCAUUUAUUCACUCAUUUAUGAAUUCAUCAUUGAUACAGUAAAGCCCAGCAGACCUACAUUUCCCUUAGAGGAAUUCAAGCUGUGUGAGCUCAGUGAAGAGGAGGGAGACUAAGAGAGGAGGCAGGCACGUCCUCCCGAGAGAGAGAAACGUAGCCUCAGUGGUGAGGUGGCCCCUGCCCCGCCCCAUGCUCUGCCAGAGAGGGGCUUGGAUCUGCUGCCCCCAGCCAGGCCACCACACUCACAUUUUGCAUCUGGCUGGAUUGGGAGAAACUUCUUGUUCAAAUGCUCCUGCUGUUUUUAUAGCACAGUCCCUUGAAUACAUGCCAACUGCUUUAUCUAGACACCAAACCACGUCAAUAGACCAAACCAGGCUGAGUGAAUGUUUUAGACCUUUCAGGGGGAUCUUGACUGCUAGCACCUCUUCUCUCUCAGCCAGUUUGGGAUAUCUACAUCCAGGCAAGAAGUUUCCACAUUGUCCCCAGUGUGUGACUGACCACUUUCGGGGAUGAACAGGUGUGUGUGGCACAGUCUCAGGCCCCAACUCCACCCACGAGGGCAGUGGCCACACCCACCAGAAUGGUGCCAUCCAAGAGGUUAAUUCUUGAUCCUACAGUUUAAAAGGUGGCAACUGAUGCUUCCUAACGGGAUAUCCUUUCCUUUGCCUUCCUUCCCUUAUCCUCCAGCAUCCAACAAAGGCAGCCAGAUGGGCUCAGUGGAAAUGAUGUGGCUUCAGAGUGAGUUCUUUUUGAAAACUUCUAAAUGGCAGGGUUGGCGCUGGGCGUCACCCCCAUUCACCCAACCCCGGUACCUUAGCUGAGCCCAGAAGAGUAUCAUUUGUCAAAUUUCAGGCUUAAGCUAACAGGGCCAGAAUGAAGCUGCAGGACCCAGAAGUGCUUUAAAGACCAGAAUAGAUGCAUUUCCCUUUAAGCCCUGAAGCUCUGCUGGAGCAUCACUGUUCUGUGCGGGAGACGCGCAAGGGGAGAAGACAAGGCACACACGUGAUACCUUUAAGAGUAAACAAGCUUUAUCCCACGUAAACGGCAAUGCAGAUAUAAUAAGAAAAUUAAUAAAAUAAGCAAAUUAAAAUAAGCAAACGACAUAAUAAGCA